This 432-nucleotide ribosomal RNA is filed under the name uncultured bacterium. Its description in RNAcentral is "partial 16S ribosomal RNA". It matches the Rfam family "Bacterial small subunit ribosomal RNA", at positions 29 to 507 of the family's 1533-position model. The record is from RNAcentral.
ACGCACGCUGGCGGCCUGCCUAACCCCUGCACGUCGAACGAGACCUUCGGGUCUAGUGGCGCACGGGUGCGUAACGCGUGGGAACCUGCCCUUAGGUUCGGAAUAACUCCCCGAAAGGGGUGCUAAUACCGGAUAAUGUCUUCGGACCAAAGAUUUAUCGCCUUUGGAUGGGCCCGCGUUGGAUUAGCUAGUUGGUAGGGUAAAAGCCUACCAAGGCGACGAUCCAUAGCUGGUCUGAGAGGAUGAUCAGCCACACUGGGACUGAGACACGGCCCAGACUCCUACGGGAGGCAGCAGUGGGGAAUAUUGGACAAUGGGCGAAAGCCUGAUCCAGCAAUGCCGCGUGAGUGAUGAAGGCCUUAGGGUUGUAAAGCUCUUUUACCCGGGAUGAUAAUGACAGUACCGGGAGAAUAAGCGCCGGCUAACUCCGUG